GGAGAGUCAGUCAGGGAGAGUCAGGCAGGGAGAGUCAGGCAGGGAGAGUCAGGCAGGGAGAGUCAGGCAGGGAGAGUCAGGCAGGGAGAGUCAGUCAGGGAGAGUCUCGUCCAUGGUGGACAGGCAGGGAGAGUCAGGCAGGGAGAGUCAGUCAGGGAGAGUCUCAUCCAUGGUGGACAGACAGGGAGAGUCUCGUCCAUGGUGGACAGGCACGGAGAGUCUCGUCCAUGGUGGACAGGCAGGGAGUCUCGUCCAUGGUGGACAGGCAGGGAGUCUCGUCCAUGGUGGACAGGCAGGGAGAGUCAGGCAGGGAGAGUCUCGUCCAUGGUGGACAGGCAGGGAGAGUCUCGUCCAUGGUGGACAGGCAGGGGAAGUCUCGUCCAUGGUGGUCAGGCAGGGAGAUUCAGGCAGGGAGAGUCUCGUCCAUGGUGGACAGGCAGGGGAGUCUCGUCCAUGGUGGUCAGGUAGGGAGAGUCUCGUCCAUGGUGGUCAGGCAGGGAGAUUCAGGCAGGGAGAGUCUCGUCCAUGGUGGACAGGCAGGGAGAGUCUCGUCCAUGGUGGACAGGCAGGGAGAGUCUCGUACAUGGUGGACAGGCAGGGAGAGUCUCGUACAUGGUGGACAGGCAGGGAGAGUCUCGUCCAUGGUGGACAGGCAGGGAGAGUCUCGUCCAUGGUGGACAGGCAGGGAGAGUCUCGUCCAUGGUGGACAGGCAGGGAGAGUCUCGUCCAUGGUGGACAGGCAGGGAGAGUCUCGUACAUGGUGGACAGGCAGGGAGAGUCUCGUACAUGGUGGACAGGCAGGGAGAGUCUCGUACAUGGUGGA
Molecule: long non-coding RNA, 823 nt
Organism: Oncorhynchus tshawytscha (Chinook salmon)
Lineage: Eukaryota; Metazoa; Chordata; Actinopteri; Salmoniformes; Salmonidae
Source: Ensembl